Molecule: long non-coding RNA, 1126 nt
Filed under: Triticum aestivum (bread wheat)
Lineage: Eukaryota; Viridiplantae; Streptophyta; Magnoliopsida; Poales; Poaceae
Description: long non-coding RNA (TAES_LNC014616)
Source: RNAcentral
UCUUUUACAAUCCAUUUUUUGGGGCCUCAACCCUUUUAGAAUCUGAAAUUUAUAUUGCUCUUUUUAGAAACAAGUCCAACAUAGUUUGGGCCAUGGCCUUUUUAGAGCCCAAGUAUUGAGUGCAAUAUAAAUUCUGGACAGGGCCUUUUUACAAUCCAAUAGUGGGCCAAGCCCUCUUUUAUUUACAGCCAAUAUUCUCAAAUCAGUAUAGUAACAGUACUUCUUUCCCACAGUAAUAACACAAGUAUAGAAAACUUUCUCACACAACUUUAUCUCGCAUAACAUUAGACAGACCAACACAUAUCAAUAACUUAUCUCCUAUGUUCACAAGUACAUAACUUUUAUCUCACACAACAUUAUACAGAACUGUAUCUUGCAGGUUCAAAUCACAUAAACUUUAUCUAACAGGUUCCCCGCAACAAAAGAUGAUCACCAUCAUCUCCUAAUCAAGAUGAAAAUAACCUGCACAUUCAAAAAGAAAAAAGCAAUAUGUCAAAGAGAGACAAACAAAAAAUAGAACAAACAAAAAAUAGAGACUUGCAUCAAGUAGACCUGAUGAUGUACAGAUAGUAACCAAACUAGCAUCUACUUUGCCCGAGAGAUAGCAUGAAGCAGUUUUGAUGCCAUUUAUGCAUUAUUUCUGAGACUAGCAGCAAAAAAUACAUAGGAUGCCAAACAGCCGACAGCAGCUAAGAUUGGUUAGUUGUUGGCUACCACCGAUGGCGAGAACUAAACGAGCAGGUUAGAUUCAUUGGGCUGGGUUGGAUUGGAUUGAUGCUGACAAAGUGACAACAGGAAGGUAAUGAGCACAUACAACUAGCUCUAGUAUACCGGCAUGCAUGAGCACUUGUUAAUAUUUAUAUUCAUCACAGCAACCUAUAACCACCUACGCAUACAAAUCAAAAAGCACACAUAUAUACUGAACAAAAGCAACAGCCAUGAAUAGAUGACUUAACAGUUCAUGUUUUUUAACAAAACAAGAGUGGACAUCUCAUAGUGAGUCUAAUACAGCUACAUUAAGCAGAGAACCACAUCAAGACAUGAAGAGUAAUCCAUCACAGUAUAGGAGGAUUGGACUGCAUACCUAGUCGUCCUUGAGGUAGAGGACCAUCUUGGUACCCCUGCC